UUUUUUAAUAUUUAUCUUUAUAAAAAUUUUAACAUUUUUAAAUAUAUUUUUACUAUCAAGAUCCGUAAAAAAAAAUAUAAUUAAAUAUAGAUAAAGUACUUAAUCAUGAUUGGUGAAUAAGGUAAAUUGACUUUUUUUUAAUCCAUUUUAUAUCAUUUGUGAUGGUAGAAAAAAAAAAAAUGGCCGUUGAAAAUUUUUGAAAAGAUAUUUCUGUACAAUUCUAAUAGUUGGAUCUUUUGAAGAAAUAUAUUUGUGAUGACAAAAAUAUCUUUUUACUUAAUUAUUUUUUGACAGUGAUAUAACGGUAAAAAAUUAGAGAAAAAAAAAUGAAUAUUACUGAAUUUUUGUAGAAAUAAAUAUAAAAAGUUAAACUUUGUAAAAAUAUAUUUGCUAUCCGAUAGAUUUACAGAGAGCUAUAAGAAAUUAACCAUAUU
RNAcentral lists this long non-coding RNA (434 nucleotides) under Ananas comosus (pineapple). RNAcentral's name for it is "long non-coding RNA (ACOM_LNC044731)". The record is from RNAcentral. Lineage: Eukaryota; Viridiplantae; Streptophyta; Magnoliopsida; Poales; Bromeliaceae.